Molecule: ribosomal RNA, 2082 nt
Filed under: uncultured eukaryote
Lineage: Eukaryota
Description: partial Bacterial large subunit ribosomal RNA
Rfam family: Bacterial large subunit ribosomal RNA
Source: RNAcentral
UGGAAAAGGGCGUAUGGGGAAUGCCUAGGCUCUCAGAGGCGAAGAAGGACGUGAUAAGCUGCGAAAAGCUACGGGGAUCGGCACACACGAUAUGAUCCGUAGAUAUCCGAAUGGGGCAACCCGGCAUAUUGAAGAUAUGUCAUGCAGUAAUGCAAGCAAACCCGGGGAACUGAAACAUCUAAGUACCCGGAGGAGGAGAAAACAAAAGUGAUUCCGAUAGUAGCGGCGAGCGAAAUUGGAUUAGUCCAAACCGUACAUGUUUCGGCAUGUGCGGGGUUGUAGGACCACGAUAUUCGAAAUGUAAUGAACUAGAACGCUUUGGAAAUAGCGACCAUAGAGGGUGAUAGUCCCGUAUAGGUAAAGAGCAUUUAGAUAGUGGUAUCCUGAGUAGUGCGGGGCACGUGAAACCCUGUAUGAAUCCGGCGGGACCAUCCGCCAAGACUAAAUACUCCUGAGAGACCGAUAGUGAACCAGUACCGUGAGGGAAAGGUGAAAAGAACCGUGAAUAACGGAGUGAAAUAGAUCCUGAAACCAUACGCUUACAAGCGGUCGGAGCCCAUAUGGGUGACGGCGUGCCUUUUGCAUAAUGAGCCUACGAGUUACUUUUACUAGCAAGGUUAAGGACUUCAGGUCCGGAGCCGUAGCGAAAGCGAGUCUUAAUAGGGCGCCAUAGUUAGUAGUAGUAGACGCGAAACCGUGCGAUCUACCCAUGGGCAGGUUGAAGCUGUGGUAACACAUAGUGGAGGACCGAACCCGUUGACGUUGAAAAGUCUUGGGAUGACCUGUGGGUAGGGGUGAAAGGCCAAUCAAGCUCGGAAAUAGCUCGUACUCCCCGAAAUGCAUUUAGGUGCAGCGUGUAGAUAGUUUUAUAGAGGUAGAGCUACUGAUUGGAUGCGGGGGCUUCACCGCCUACCAAUUCCUGACAAACUCCGAAUGCUAUAAAAUGUUUCUGCGCAGUGAGGGCAUGGGUGCUAAGGUCCAUGUCCGAGAGGGAAAGAACCCAGAUCACCAGCUAAGGUCCCAAAGUAUAUACUAAGUUGAUAUAACGCGGUGGAACUGCAUUGACAGCCAGGAUGUUGGCUUGGAAGCAGCCAUUCAUUUAAAGAGUGCGUAACAGCUCACUGGUCGAGCGGUUCCGCAUGGAUAAUAAUCGGGCAUAAGUAUAUCACCGAAGCUGUGACUUCAUAUUUAUAUGAGGGGUAGGGGAGCAUUGUAAUUGCGUCGAAGGUGUACCUGCGAGGGAUGCUGGAGCGAUUACAAACGAAAAUGUAGGCAUAAGUAACGAUAAUGCGGGCGAGAAACCCGCACGCCGAAAGACCAAGGUUUCCCCAGCUAUGCUAAUCAGCUGGGGGUCAGUCGGGACCUAACGCGAACCCGAAGGGGAUAGUGGAUGGACAACAGAUUAAUAUUUCUGUACCUGCUCACGCUAAAAGUGACGGAGGCGAGAAGUUGGUGCGUACAGACGGAAUUGUACGUUGAAGGGAGUGGUAACACCCCGAUAGUACACCGAGACCACGGUCAAGGUGAUAAUCCAGCAUAUCGACUUCCAAGAAAAGCGAGUGAAGCAGCCCGUACCGUAAACCGACACAGGUGGUUGGGAUGAGUAUUCUAAGGCGCUCGAGAGAUUCAUGGCUAAGGAACUAGGCAAAAUAGACCCGUAACUUCGGGAGAAGGGUCGCCCCCCUUAUGGGGGGGCCGCAGUGAAGAGGUCCAGGCGACUGUUUAUCAAAAACACAGGGCUCUGCAAAAUCGAAAGAUGAAGUAUAGGGCCUGACACCUGCCCGGUGCUGGAAGGUUAAGGGGAACUGUGAGUGUAUGCGUAGCGGUGAACUUAAGCCCCAGUAAACGGCGGUGGUAACUAUAACCAUCCUAAGGUAGCGAAAUUCCUUGUCGGGUAAGUUCCGCCCCGCACGAAAGGCGUAACGAUUUGGGCACUGUCUCAACGAGAGACUCGGUGAAAUCAUAGUACCUGUGAAGAUGCAGGUUACCCGCGACAGGACGGAAAGACCCCGUGGAGCUUUACUGUAGCCUGAUAUUGAAAUUCGGCACAGCUUGUACAGGAUAGGUAGGAGCCUUUGAAAC